UACGUAGGGGGCUAGCGUUGUCCGGAAUCAUUGGGCGUAAAGAGCGUGUAGGCGGUCCGGUAAGUCCGCUGUGAAAGUCGGGGGGCUCAACCCUCGAAUGCCGGUGGAUACUGUCGGGCUAGAGUGCGGAAGAGGCGAGUGGAAUUCCUGGUGUAGCGGUGAAAUGCGCAGAUAUCAGGAGGAACACCUAUUGCGAAGGCAGCUCGCUGGGACGUUACUGACGCUGAGACGCGAAAGCGUGGGGAGCAAACAGG
This 254-nucleotide ribosomal RNA is filed under the name uncultured bacterium. Its description in RNAcentral is "partial 16S ribosomal RNA". It matches the Rfam family "Bacterial small subunit ribosomal RNA", at positions 524 to 776 of the family's 1533-position model. The record is from RNAcentral.